This 253-nucleotide ribosomal RNA is filed under the name uncultured bacterium. RNAcentral describes it as "partial 16S ribosomal RNA". It matches the Rfam family "Bacterial small subunit ribosomal RNA", at positions 524 to 776 of the family's 1533-position model. The record is from RNAcentral.
UACGGAGGGUGCGAGCGUUGUCCGGAAUCACUGGGCGUAAAGGGCGCGUAGGCGGCCGAGCAAGGUCGCGGUGAAAGCCCGGGGCUCAACCCCGGGUCGGCCGUGGCAACUACUCGGCUUGAGCACUGUAGGGGCGGGUGGAAUUCCGGGUGUAGCGGUGGAAUGCGUAGAGAUCCGGAAGAACACCGGUGGCGAAGGCGGCUGGCUGGACCUGACCUGACGCUGAGGCGCGAAGGCGUGGGGAGCGAACGGG